This 253-nucleotide ribosomal RNA is filed under the name uncultured bacterium. RNAcentral describes it as "partial 16S ribosomal RNA". It matches the Rfam family "Bacterial small subunit ribosomal RNA", at positions 524 to 776 of the family's 1533-position model. The record is from RNAcentral.
UACGUAGGGACCGAGCGUUGUCCGGAAUCAUUGGGCGUAAAGAGCGUGUAGGCGGCCGCUUAAGUCCUGCGUGAAAUCUCGGAGCUCAACUCCGAGCGGUCGUGGGAAACUGGGCGGCUAGAGUGCGGGAGAGGAGAGUGGAAUUCCUGGUGUAGCGGUGGAAUGCGCAGAUAUCAGGAAGAACACCCGUGGCGAAGGCGGCUCUCUGGAACGCAACUGACGCUGAGACGCGAAAGCGUGGGGAGCAAACAGG